UGGCUCAGAAUCAACGCUGGCGGCGUGCCUCAGACAUGCAAGUCGAACGGUUAAGACUCCCUUCGGGGAGUGUAUAAAGUGGCGCACGGGUGAGUAACACGUGGGUAAUCUACCUUCGGGUGGGGGAUAACUCGCCGAAAGGCGGGCUAAUACCGCAUAAUGCAGCGGCACCGAAUGGUGACAGUUGUUAAAGGAGCAAUCCGCCUGAAGAGGAGCCCGCGGCCGAUUAGCUAGUUGGUAGGGUAAUGGCCUACCAAGGCGACGAUCGGUAGCCGGCCUGAGAGGGCGGCCGGCCACACUGGCACUGAAACACGGGCCAGACUCCUACGGGAGGCAGCAGUCGGGAAUUUUGGGCAAUGGGCGAAAGCCUGACCCAGCAACGCCGCGUGAGGGAUGAAGUCCUUCGGGGAUGUAAACCUCGUAAGCAUGGGGAAGAAUAAAUGACGGGUACCAUGCGUAAGCCCGGGCUAACUACGUGCCAGCAGCCGCCGUAACU
This 496-nucleotide ribosomal RNA is filed under the name uncultured Acidobacteriota bacterium. RNAcentral describes it as "bacterial SSU rRNA". It matches the Rfam family "Bacterial small subunit ribosomal RNA", at positions 20 to 525 of the family's 1533-position model. Lineage: Bacteria; Pseudomonadati; Acidobacteriota. The record is from RNAcentral.